UGGAAACCCAUUGUGUCACUUGGCUGCCAAUGAGGUCAGAGAGCCCCAAAUAUUCCUUACACACUGCACAGAAGGCCAGUGGCAGGAGGGUAGGCUAAUGGCAUAAAAAGAAGCUGUCUAUCCUAAUGCCCCUGAGGUAACAUAUCAGGAUGAGCAGUCACGUGUGAAUAUGACAGGAGCAGCAUUUGUGACCAUUAUAUAAUGAGAAAACACUUCUACUCUGAAAAUCAACUCAGCUAUGUCCUGUGUCUGCUCACUCAGGGAUUAAAUUACAAGCAAUACAGGUCUAUGGAAUGAAGAGAAGGGAGAUGGUAGUGCCUGAAAACAUACGCCGCAGACAGACAGUAAAGAGAUAUUUCUGUAAGGGUGAAUUCACACCACAUUUUAUAUAGCAACUGUAAACAGCUUUAUAUUAUAAAACUGUGUUGAACUGUAUUUUCAUAGACUGGCAUUACUAAAAAUUACUGGCGUAUUAAAAAGUGCUUCCAUUUUUUACGGUUGCGGUUAAGUACGUUUUUUUGCCAAAUAAAA
This is a long non-coding RNA of Hyla sarda, 531 nucleotides long. RefSeq lists it as uncharacterized. The record is from RefSeq and is a predicted model, not a curated record. The transcript is spliced from 3 exons. NCBI's taxonomy places the organism in Eukaryota, Metazoa, Chordata, Amphibia, Anura, Hylidae.